This 68-nucleotide transfer RNA is filed under the name Marmota monax (woodchuck). RNAcentral's name for it is "tRNA.Ala". The record is from RNAcentral. Lineage: Eukaryota; Metazoa; Chordata; Mammalia; Rodentia; Sciuridae.
GUUGUGGCUCAGCGGUAGAGCACUCGCCUAGCAUGUACGAGGCCCUGGGUUUGAUUCUCAGUACCACA